This is a long non-coding RNA of Daphnia pulex (common water flea), 877 nucleotides long. RefSeq lists it as uncharacterized. The transcript is spliced from 3 exons. The record is from RefSeq and is a predicted model, not a curated record. NCBI's taxonomy places the organism in Eukaryota, Metazoa, Arthropoda, Branchiopoda, Diplostraca, Daphniidae.
UGAUUGAUUAUAGUGAACUUUUGCGAAUAAAUCCGUUCACAUAAAGUUAUCUUUAGUCUCUAUUGCCCAAUCGUUGUAUAUGUGUCACUGUUACCCACAUGAUCCUCCAGAUCUACUCGCGUGGUUGAAACAAAUCAAAUCAGCCAAUAAGUAAUGAAAUGCUCAAAACAGCCUAGGAUUUCCCAAGUUUCAAGAAGAGAGACAUGGAUUGCUAAACCUGAAAUGGACUUGCAGUCUUUCCAUGCUGAAGUAGGAGGAUAGUGCUAGAAGACAACUUUGCUCUUUAUGUAUCACCCCAAAGUCACUCCAUGAGUCCAUCAGUUAGCUCAAAUGCAACAACAAUAAGUCCAAGGCUUUUAGGUAUGGUAACUGUUAAAGUUGUAUCGCCUGUACUACAUCUGAUGAAGUGAGCUCAACAAUUUCAGUGCUGUCAGUCGCACCUUCCCACGUGAACUACCAGUCCCAAUGUGUUUUGACUGGGAUGGAAAGAAUUCCAAUUUCAAGUCUAAAUGGAAAUCAACAUGGAUCACAUCAGGCAACAAAUUUCCUCUAGGACUGAUGUGCAGAAAUCCUACAUCACGAGCUACAAAAAAGUUUGAACUCCGGAUUGCAAGUUAUUACGACCGCCGUAUGGACGAAACCCUGUGGUUCAUUGCAAGACGCAUCGUUGUCGAAGAAACUGCCAUCCGGGAAGAACCAUAAUUUCAAACAUCAGUUGCUAGCAGUUUUUGUCCGGGCAGCAACAAAUCCUGUCCGGAACUUGACGAAGAAGUUGCUAGAGAAUGAUACAUUUCAGACGGUCGUAAAAUUUGAGAACGAAGAGGAGCCUGAUGAGAUCUCUCGAUUCAAUUAAAAAAAAAACUCAAAGAAAGUAAUG